CGCUAAUCGUAUGAUUUUCUGAUUGGCUCAGCCAAUCUCGACAUUUUCAGAAAUUUUCAUUCCUGUAUCGACGAAAAGAACGACCUGGAACGACCAUUUUUAUUAUAAUUACGCUUCUUCGUGCAACCUUAUGCAAUAAUAGAAAAUUAAUAUAAUGAAUGUUCAUCCGGAAUAAAAGUAGCAUUAUAAAAAUCACAUUCCUUGUAACAGUUCAUGCUAAGUAAGGAAUUAAUAAUGGAUAAUGAUCACAUAAACUAUGAUGUACAAAUAAUUGCCGACAAGAAACCCCCAUGAAUGAAGUAUCAUCCAAUGAAAUUGAAGAUGGAUCAUUGUGCAAGAGAGUGAGUAAAUUCAUUUUCAUUGUCUACAAGUCAUUGGAGUAGCAUAAAUACGUAUUUUUCUUUAGAAAUUUACAGUCGUAGUAGAAACAAUCAAAGUAUUUAAAAAUGUUGAUAAUUUUUGAAUGCCUUAAAAUAACAUUAAUUACACAUCAUUGAUUCGAAUAACGCGCUGAGAAUAUGAACAAUGACGCCAGACAAUCAAAUUGCGUUUCACGUCAUGUGACUUUAAAUUUUAGAUAUUUUCCCAUACAAUUUCUGUAGACUUUGAAUAGCAAGCGCUACUUGAUACAGGCAAGUCGGGUCAUUUUCUAAAUGAAACUCUUUGAAUGUUUCAUUCAAUUCCAUUGAUAUCAGGUUAUUAUCAAAAGGAAACAGAUCACAGACGAAUUCUCCAAUUAAAGUAAAAUUACCAAAAACUCCUCGAUUUUCUAAUUUUUUUUUACACAAUAAACGUUUCCGAGAAACAAAAAAUAAAUGGAACUCUUUGGCAGAUCGAUUUCGCUCUCUGUACAAAAAUAAGUACGUGAUAUUAUUGUGGUUUAGUUGAUCAGUAGAUGCAAUAAAUUAGGCAUUAAUUUACCCAUGAACAUUCUCGGCAAUUAAAUCUAAGUGUGGCCGAACUAUAAAGAUUAUGUUUGUAACAUUAGUAAGAGGAAGUUGGCCACCAACUAACUCGUACAUUUUAACGACACCAUAUUCUUCUAAUAAAUUAUAUUUGGCGAUAAGACCAACCGGGCCAGCGAGUGAUUGGUCCCAAACGAUAGCCUGUUGUAAAAUAAAAAUAUUAUAGAUAUAAUUUACAUACAUAUCGGAAAUUAUGUACCAAGUUAACGAUACCCUGAGUUAUUUUUAGUAGAAUUCAUAUAUAUGGUGGAAUUUUUAGAUUUUUUUGAAAUUCUAAUAAAAUCUUAGUAUUUACUUUUGGGCCAUCGCAUUUUUCGAUAAGACAUAACAACUGUUUUCUCGCUUGUUCCUGGAACAAACCGAUAUUGAGUCGUCCUCCGGAUAAAUGCGCUGAUGACAUUUUGUCGAAUUAAUUAAAUAAUUAUAGAUAAUGAUGAUAGCAGUAGAUAAUAUUAUUUGUAGUUGGAGUAUAAUAAAAUAGUGUCAUAAUUCGGGAGGUUUUUAUUCAAAAUUUUCAGUUUAUGUAUAUGUCAAAUAUAUACUUAUAUUUUUUUUUAAUAUCAAAUUUUUUUGUUUUUCCUGAGGCUUGUAGUUUUCAAACUACGGUACUGAUUAUGAAGACAACAUAUUGACGGCAAAAUGGAUUGUUUCCUUUUUUGUAUGUAGACCCUCCCUAAUAUCACCCCUGAUAGCCACCUUAUCCACAAGUUAACUUCAAGCUACUGCCGUAUUCUAGAGCCAACUUAAAGAAAAGUGUUGGAGAGCAAGCAGUUUCCUUUAAGUUGACAGAAAAUUGUCUGUAACAUGAAUUCAAUUUGACUACAAGUGCGACUAUCAGACAAUGACAGUUCAAAUUACAUUUAGAUGACGGCAGUAGAUUUGCAUCAACUUGCACGCAAGUAUUAUCCAGCCGAGGCUUACCACCCUGAUAGCCACACUCUUAAUAUAAUUGCUCAUCAAGUUCUGCAGUGAAACACUUUCGGCUGACUUAACGACAAGUUUCUGUCAAGCCUCGGCUGAAUAAUACUUGCGUGCCAGUUGGUGCGAAUCAACUGCUGUCAUCUGAAUGUAAUUUGACAGAAAAACUUGCCGUCAAUUUGAAGUGAAUCUUUCAAUCAACUUAACGUCAUUGUCUGACAGUAACACUUGUAGACAAAUUGAAUUCAAGUUUAAGACAAUCUACUGUCAACUUAAAGAUAACUGCUUGCUCUUUAACACUUAACUUUUAAUUGGCUUCAGAAUACUGCAGUAGCUUAAGUUAACUUGUGGAUAAGGUUGUUAUCAGGGCAGAAACUUGUCGUUAAGUUGGCCAAAAAUGUUCCACUGCAAAACUUGCUGAGCAAUUAAUUAUAUUUAAAGUGUGGCUAUCAGGGAAUUUACCUUUAAAUAGAGCAUAAAUUAACCGCCAAUUUUUUUUUACGACUUUUGCUUUCGGCAAAUUCAGGCAGCAAAUCUGAAGUAAUUUCAAUGUGAAAUCACUGUCGAUUCCAAGUCAAAGUUGCUAUUAUAGGGUAUAGAUUGGUCAAAAGCAAAAAUGUACCCACAUGAAAAUAUACCUUAAAAUAAAUAUGUAAAACAUGUGCAACAUUACAAAUGUCUCCUGAUCAAAAACCACACUUCUAUUAAGUCAUCGGAUAAAUGAUUUACAAGAUGCUUCCUAUCAAAUUUGCACAAGUUUUUAAAAAUGUGUCUGUGAGUGAUGACAUUAGUUAUGGUCGCAACAUGAAGUAUUCGAAUAUCCUUAGAGAAUUUCAUACUACAACCUAUCUAUGGAAAAAUGGUGGCAGUUCUAAAGUCAUGUGUAAAGUGGUUCAAGAAGAUCCAGUCGCCUCACAGUUUAGAUCAAGCAAAUUAGAAACCGCUGUUAACAUAAUUGUUCCUGAUGAUGGUGAAAGAUUCCUUGCUUGUACUGGGGAAAUGGAAUUUAAUAAGCCCAUGGAAGUGUUCGACUAUAGCUAUUAUUUUCCUUUCAUAAUUACCUCUCCAAGAUUUAAUGUUGCAGUUGAAUUCGAAGUAAACCCAAGCACUACUGCAGUGGAAAUUUAAAAAAAAACCUAUUAUAAAAAUAAAACUUUUGAUCUACUGAUUCUUUUAGUGAUUCUUUAUCAUGUAAUAUUAAAGACUUUACAAAAUUUCUGUUAAAGAAACUUUUGCAUUAUAAUUAUAUUAUUAAAGCAUUAUUGUUAAAUAAACAUUUUUUUCAUUCUUUGUCAAUGGUCAUUGUUUUUUUU
Microplitis mediator is the source of this 3196-nucleotide long non-coding RNA. RefSeq lists it as uncharacterized. Lineage: Eukaryota; Metazoa; Arthropoda; Insecta; Hymenoptera; Braconidae. The record is from RefSeq and is a predicted model, not a curated record. The transcript is spliced from 5 exons.